Molecule: ribosomal RNA, 104 nt
Filed under: Klebsiella ornithinolytica
Lineage: Bacteria; Pseudomonadati; Pseudomonadota; Gammaproteobacteria; Enterobacterales; Enterobacteriaceae
Also listed under: 2 other names
Source: RNAcentral
CCUGGCGGCGAUAGCGCGGUGGUCCCACCUGACCCCAUGCCGAACUCAGAAGUGAAACGCCGUAGCGCCGAUGGUAGUGUGGGGUCUCCCCAUGUGAGAGUAGG